GUGCCAGCCGCCGCGGUAAUACGAACCGUCCAAACGUUAUUCGGAAUUACUGGGCUUAAAGGGUGCGUAGGCGGCCCGAUAAGUUGGGUGUGAAAUCCCUCGGCUUAACCGAGGAAUUGCGCCCAAGACUGUCGGGCUUGAGUGAGAUAGAGGUGAGCGGAACUUAGGGUGGAGCGGUGAAAUGCGUUGAUAUCCUAAGGAACACCGGUGGCGAAAGCGGCUCACUGGGUCUUGUCUGACGCUGAGGCACGAAAGCUAGGGGAGCGAACGGGAUUAGAUACCCCAGUAGUCC
Molecule: ribosomal RNA, 292 nt
Filed under: uncultured bacterium
Lineage: Bacteria
Description: partial 16S ribosomal RNA
Rfam family: Bacterial small subunit ribosomal RNA
Source: RNAcentral